UGAGCAAUCUGCCCUUCUCAUCGGAAUAAGCGUUGGAAACGACGUCUAAUGCCGAAUACGACCUCCUUUCGCAUGAUCGGAGGUGGAAAGCUCCGGCGGAGAAGGAUGAGCUCGCGGCCUAUCAGCUAGUUGGUGGGUAACGGCCUACCAAGGCGACGAUCCGUAGCUGGUCUGAGAGGAUGAUCAGCCACACUGGGACUGAGACACGGCCCAGAUCCUACGGG
Molecule: ribosomal RNA, 224 nt
Filed under: uncultured bacterium
Lineage: Bacteria
Description: partial 16S ribosomal RNA
Rfam family: Bacterial small subunit ribosomal RNA
Source: RNAcentral